UCAGGAACACAGAGAGACAGGCAUGGCACCUCCACCUCUUCCUCUCCCUCUAGUGCUAACCGCAGCCAUCCUUUCAACUUGCCACCAACUCAAAAAUUAAAGAGGAAUGUCAGGAGAACUCAUUCAGGAAAUUAAAACUCAACUUCGUUGCUUUAAUUGGACGAACGGAUCCGUGAAACGUUCCUGCACAAUCAGCCAUUAAAGGCCACGGUGAGCUCCCUCGAUCUCCCCAUACCGACCCCCUCUUCCCCUAUAAAUAGGACCCCGGAAAGCACAACAUAUCUCACCAUCCCUAAGCUAGAAACCCCUCUCUGUGUCGCUCUCCUACGCGAGCAAUUGCUCGCCGGAGUUCAACAAUAGCAUCAAAGUCCGACGAGGAUUCCGUCGCGAGCGAGCAGGAGAACGAGAACGCGAGGAUCGAGACUCACUGCCGCCAUGCGCAACUUCAGCCGCUUCUGUCGAGUGAAGGAGAAAGCUCCCGAGAUCCUACAGAGUCCAUUGAAUUCUCCAUCACCAUCUCUCCGCCGUCCGCCAUUCCUAAUUCGCCAGAGCACGCCCGAACCACCAUCUUCCUCAUCACCGGCGACCAACUCCGAUUACGACGAGUGCGAGGGUGAAUUCUACGAGGAGGUAGAACCUUGUUACUGCGAAACCAAAGG
Molecule: long non-coding RNA, 659 nt
Organism: Triticum dicoccoides
Lineage: Eukaryota; Viridiplantae; Streptophyta; Magnoliopsida; Poales; Poaceae
Exons: 3
Source: RefSeq, a predicted model, not a curated record